UACGAAGGGGACUAGCGUUGUUCGGAUUUACUGGGCGUAAAGCGCGCGUAGGCGGAUCGCUAAGUCAGGGGUGAAAUCCCAGGGCUCAACCCUGGAACUGCCUUUGAUACUGACGAUCUGGAGAUCGGGAGAGGUUGGUGGAAUUCCGAGUGUAGAGGUGAAAUUCGUAGAUAUUCGGAGGAACACCAGAAGCGAAGGCGGCCAACUGGCCCGAUACUGACGCUGAGGCGCGAAAGCCAGGGGAGCAAACGGG
This 253-nucleotide ribosomal RNA is filed under the name uncultured bacterium. RNAcentral's name for it is "partial 16S ribosomal RNA". It matches the Rfam family "Bacterial small subunit ribosomal RNA", at positions 524 to 776 of the family's 1533-position model. The record is from RNAcentral.